CUCUGCCCGUCAGCACUCAGCUGUUGCUGCUGCUGCCUGGCCUUUUCCUGCUGCCUGCUCUGGAGCACCAAUCCCAGCAGGAUGAGCACUGCUGCGCCAGUGGAGACUAACAGAGACACUGUGGUGGCGAUGGAAGUGGACAUGGUGCAGGAUCAGGAAGAAAUGAUGGAGGUGGACGUGGAAGAGCAGGUUGAGGAGAUGGAAGUAGAUGUGGAGGAUGACAUCGAGGAGAUGGAAGUGGAUGAGAAGGAUGAGGAGGAGCCCAUGGUCCUUGGAUGAAGAUGGAGCCCCACAAGACUGAUGCAGAUGAUGGCUGUAGAUAUUACGGCGGUGUAGAUAUGUUUGAAAAGUUAGAAUUUUUAUUGUAAAUAUGUUCUUAGGUUAGUAGUUCUUUGUAAAUAUGUUUUGAAGAUUGUUAGUCCAUAGGAUCCCAUGGAAAUAUGUGCAGUAGAUUGUUGUUGUUAUAAGGAUUUUUGUAAUGGAAGGUGUUCUGUAAAUCCUCGUGUUUGCCGAUGAUCAGCAAAUAAAUAAUGAUUCUUUAUAAAACUUCACUUCUCCUUCUCAUUCCUUUGGGCACUGUCAGAACCCCGGA
Molecule: long non-coding RNA, 592 nt
Organism: Passer domesticus (house sparrow)
Lineage: Eukaryota; Metazoa; Chordata; Aves; Passeriformes; Passeridae
Exons: 3
Source: RefSeq, a predicted model, not a curated record